CCUACGGGAGGCAGCAGUGGGGAAUAUUGGACAAUGGGGGAAACCCUGAUCCAGCAAUGCCGCGUGUGUGAAGAAGGCCUGCGGGUUGUAAAGCACUUUCGGUUGGGAAGAAAAGUUUGGCGCCAAUACCGCCGAACCUUGACGUUACUGACAGAAGAAGCACCGGCUAACUCUGUGC
This 178-nucleotide ribosomal RNA is filed under the name uncultured bacterium. RNAcentral's name for it is "partial 16S ribosomal RNA". It matches the Rfam family "Bacterial small subunit ribosomal RNA", at positions 338 to 508 of the family's 1533-position model. The record is from RNAcentral.